Chelonoidis abingdonii (Abingdon island giant tortoise) is the source of this 66-nucleotide small nucleolar RNA. Its record names the gene SNORD58. It matches the Rfam family "Small nucleolar RNA SNORD58". From Rfam's summary of the family: snoRNA U58 is found in introns 1, 3 and 6 of the ribosomal protein RPL17 gene in humans. U58 is a member of the C/D class of snoRNA which contain C (UGAUGA) and D (CUGA) box motifs. Lineage: Eukaryota; Metazoa; Chordata; Testudines; Testudinidae. The record is from Ensembl.
UGGCAGUGAUGACUAUCUUAGGACACCUUUCGAAUAACAAUGAAACAAACUUCAUUUCUGAGCCAU